GACGAACGCUGGCGGCGUGCUUAACACAUGCCAGUCGAACGGAAAGGCCCUGCUUUUGUGGGGUGCUCGAGUGGCGAACGGGUGAGUAACACGUGAGUAACCUGCCCUUGACUUUGGGAUAACUUCAGGAAACUGGGGCUAAUACCGGAUAGGAGCUCCUGCUGCAUGGGGGGGGUUGGAAAGUUUCGGCGGUUGGGGAUGGACUCGCGGCUUAUCAGCUUGUUGGUGGGGUAGUGGCUUACCAAGGCUUUGACGGGUAGCCGGCCUGAGAGGGUGACCGGCCACAUUGGGACUAAGAUACGGCCCAGACUCCUACGGGAGGCAGCGGUGGGGAAUAUUGCGCAAUGGGCGGAAGCCUGAUGCAGCAGCGCCGCGUGCGGAAUAACGGCCUUCUGGUUGUAAACCGCUUUCGCCUGUGACGAAGCGUGAGUGACGGUAAUGGGUAAGGAAGCACCGGCUAACUACGUG
This 468-nucleotide ribosomal RNA is filed under the name uncultured bacterium. RNAcentral describes it as "partial 16S ribosomal RNA". It matches the Rfam family "Bacterial small subunit ribosomal RNA", at positions 28 to 507 of the family's 1533-position model. The record is from RNAcentral.